This 252-nucleotide ribosomal RNA is filed under the name uncultured bacterium. Its description in RNAcentral is "partial 16S ribosomal RNA". It matches the Rfam family "Bacterial small subunit ribosomal RNA", at positions 524 to 776 of the family's 1533-position model. The record is from RNAcentral.
UACGUAGGGGGCGAGCGUUAUCCGGAUUCACUGGGUUUAAAGGGUGCGUAGGCGGACGCUUAAGUCAGCGGUAAAAUUGCGGGGCUCAACCUCGUCGAGCCGUUGAAACUGGGUGCCUUGAGUGGGCGAGAAGUACGCGGAAUGCGUGGUGUAGCGGUGAAAUGCAUAGAUAUCACGCAGAACUCCGAUUGCGAAGGCAGCGUACCGGCGCCCAACUGACGCUGAAGCACGAAGGCGUGGGUAUCGAACAGG